UACGUAGGGUGCGAGCGUGUCCGGAAUUAUUGGGCGUAAAGAGCUCGUAGGCGGUUUGUCGCGUCGGGAGUGAAAACUCAGGGCUUAACCCUGAGCCUGCUUCCGAUACGGGCAGGACUAGAGGUAUGCAGGGGAGAACGGAAUUCCUGGUGUAGCGGUGAAAUGCGCAGAUAUCAGGAGGAACACCGGUGGCGAAGGCGGUUCUCUGGGCAUUACCUGACGCUGAGGAGCGAAAGUGUGGGGAGCGAACAGG
This 253-nucleotide ribosomal RNA is filed under the name uncultured bacterium. RNAcentral's name for it is "partial 16S ribosomal RNA". It matches the Rfam family "Bacterial small subunit ribosomal RNA", at positions 524 to 776 of the family's 1533-position model. The record is from RNAcentral.